AGGGUUUGAUUAUGGCUCAGGAUGAACGCUAGCUACAGGCUUAACACAUGCAAGUCGAGGGGCAGCAUGGUCUUAGCUUGCUAAGGCCGAUGGCGACCGGCGCACGGGUGAGUAACACGUAUCCAACCUGCCGUCUACUCUUGGACAGCCUUCUGAAAGGAAGAUUAAUACAAGAUGGCAUCAUGAGUCCGCAUGUUCACAUGAUUAAAGGUAUUCCGGUAGACGAUGGGGAUGCGUUCCAUUAGAUAGUAGGCGGGGUAACGGCCCACCUAGUCUUCGAUGGAUAGGGGUUCUGAGAGGAAGGUCCCCCACAUUGGAACUGAGACACGGUCCAA
Molecule: ribosomal RNA, 335 nt
Filed under: uncultured bacterium
Lineage: Bacteria
Description: bacterial SSU rRNA
Rfam family: Bacterial small subunit ribosomal RNA
Source: RNAcentral